RNAcentral lists this transfer RNA (77 nucleotides) under Metaperipatus inae. RNAcentral describes it as "tRNA-Met". The record is from RNAcentral. Lineage: Eukaryota; Metazoa; Onychophora; Udeonychophora; Euonychophora; Peripatopsidae.
UGAUGUUUAAGCUAUUAAGCUUUUGGAUUCAUAAUUCAAUGAUAUAUGUAUUAAUGUUUUUAGUAUAUUAUUUUUAU